AAGCGCGUGCGCGGUGACGCGGGAAAUGGCGGUUGGCCGUCCACCCGCGAGCGCUGAGGCGCCGCCGUGUGUGUCGACGACGGCUCCACCACGCUUCACAACCUGUUGUUGUCAUCUGCUGGAGUUUUGCAUCAUGAAAAUCUAUGAUAUUUGUGAUCGAGGAAUUCCCACAAUUUGUCUAAAGGAGGGUCUCUAUCCAAAAGUCAGAGCCCAUCUUCCUUCACAGAUGCGACUGGCUCACUGAGUUCCUCCAGCAGCUGCAUCAAGAUUUCAGCAUCUGUUCCACAAUUAUACCAGGAAAACAAAAGAGCUCAUUGUCGACUUCAGGAGGCACACCACCGACUUAGCCCCCCUACACAUCAACGGCGAGUGUGUGGAGAGGGUCAACACCUUCCGGUUUCUCGGCGUCCAUAUCGCUGCUGACAUCUCCUGGACGGACAACACGACAGCGGUCAUCAAGAAGGCUCAGCAGCGGCUGCACUUCCUGAGGGUCCUCAGGAAGCACAACCUGGACUCUAACCUGCUGCUGACCUUCUACCGCUCGUCCAUCGAGAGCCUGCUGACAUACUGCAUUACAGCAUGGUAUGGCAGCUGCACCAUGGCAGACAGGAAGAGGCUUCAGAGGGUAACCAGGACAGCGCAGAGGAUCAUUGGCUGCCCUCUCCCCUCCCUGAUGGACAUCUACACCUCCCGCUGCCUUAGCAGGGCAAAGAAGAUCAUCAAAGACAGCUCCCAUCCUGCGUUUGGACUGUUCGACCUGCUGCCCUCUGGAAGGCGCUAUAGGUGCAUCAAAUCCAGGACAAACAGACUCAGGAAUAGUUGCUUUCCGAGAAUUAUAUCUACUAUAAAUUCAAAUUCACACAUGCACUGACUACACCGCCCAACACGGACUUCCAUCUGUAUAUAUGUAUAUAUGUAUGUAGCGCCGCAGAAUUUGUGCACCUAUUCCCCCCCUCCCCCCACCAUCUCCCUUCUGUUUUUUUGUUUUUUCUGUUUCUUGUUUUUUGUGCUAAAUUGUAUGUAUGCACUGAGUACGAGCAGCUUUCAGUUUCACUGUACAUGUAUAGUGACAAUAAAUGGCAUAUCUAUCUUUUGGUGGUAGAAAAUCAUUGAUGAAACAAUUGAAAACAAUUGGAUGAUUAGGAUUAAACUCCAAAGGGAUCAAUGGAAAUAGUUGGUGCCAGGUCAGAUUAGUUUCCCCUCUCAUCUCAUAACUAAACUAAUGUAAUGGGGCCACAGCGGUAGAGUUGCAUCUUUACAGCACCAGAGACCCGGGUUUGAUCCUGACUAUUGGUGCUGUAUGGAAUUUGUGCAUUCCCCUUGUGAAUGCUUGGUUUUUAUCUGGGUGUUCUGGUUUCCUCCCAGAU
Leucoraja erinaceus (little skate) is the source of this 1367-nucleotide long non-coding RNA. RefSeq lists it as uncharacterized. NCBI's taxonomy places the organism in Eukaryota, Metazoa, Chordata, Chondrichthyes, Rajiformes, Rajidae. The transcript has 3 exons. The record is from RefSeq and is a predicted model, not a curated record.